Molecule: ribosomal RNA, 648 nt
Filed under: Triticum aestivum (bread wheat)
Lineage: Eukaryota; Viridiplantae; Streptophyta; Magnoliopsida; Poales; Poaceae
Description: partial small subunit ribosomal RNA
Source: RNAcentral
AUGGCGAUGGCGCCGCCGCGUCUGCUGCGGGGCCUCAUCGCGCCGAUGUCGCCGGCCGACUGGCUGCCCUGCCACCUGCAGCUGCUGGCCUCGUCCGCCUCCCUCCUGCACCGCUGGUGGCUCCCCUCGCUCGCGCGCCUCCGCUGCCCCUCCUGCUCCGACGGAUUCAAGCUCUUCCUCGUCCUGCUCCUCUUCUCCGCCGCCCUCGCCGAGGUCCGCUUCGUCGCCUCCGCCUCCAUGGCGCCCACCCUCCGCCCGGGCGACCGCGCCGUCGCAGAAAAGGUCACCUACAUGUUCCGGAAGCCGUCUGCCGGGGAUGUAGUCUUCUUCAGGGUGCCCGCCGCCCUGCAGAAUUGCGGCGUAAAUAAAGAUGUUGUAUUUAUUAAGAGGGUUGUUGCCACCCCUGGAGAUUUCAUCGAGGUCCGACAAGGCCAGCUUAUUGUUAAUGGUGUUGCACAGAAUGAACAUUACACCGCACCCCAUGGUGGGUCGUACACGAUGGAAGCCAUGCGCCUCCCUGAAGACCAUGUAUUUGUCAUGGGUGAUAACCGCAAUAACAGCUGCGAUUCUCGUGCCUGGGGACCUCUUCCUAUCAGCAACAUUGUUGGGAGACACAUUAUGUCCUUUACAAGAUCCUCUCUCCAAUAG